This 253-nucleotide ribosomal RNA is filed under the name uncultured bacterium. RNAcentral describes it as "partial 16S ribosomal RNA". It matches the Rfam family "Bacterial small subunit ribosomal RNA", at positions 524 to 776 of the family's 1533-position model. The record is from RNAcentral.
UACAGAGGUCUCAAGCGUUGUUCGGAUUCAUUGGGCGUAAAGGGUGCGUAGGUGGCGUGGUAAGUCGGGUGUGAAAUUUCGGAGCUUAACUCCGAAACUGCAUUCGAUACUGCCGUGCUUGAGGACUGGGGAGGAGACUGGAAUUUACGGUGUAGCAGUGAAAUGCGUAGAGACCGUAAGGAAGACCAGUGGCGAAGGCGGGUCUCUGGACAGUUCCUGACACUGAGGCACGAAGGCCAGGGGAGCAAACGGG